Molecule: microRNA, 22 nt
Filed under: Xenopus tropicalis (tropical clawed frog)
Lineage: Eukaryota; Metazoa; Chordata; Amphibia; Anura; Pipidae
Description: Xtr-Mir-196-P1_3p* (star (passenger))
Source: RNAcentral
CUACAACAAGAAACUGCCUUAA